GGAGGAUGGGGGGUGCCACCCGGCGCACCCCCUGGGGCGGAGGAGCAGGGCGGCCCGGCCCCUUCUUCCCCGCCGCCGCCAGGGGGGGAGGCUCCGGGCAGGGAGGCCAGCUGAGGAAGGAAGCCUCCGGCUGCUGCAUGCGAGGCUGCGGGCACCCAGCACCCCACAGGGCUCCCCUGUGCCGUGGGGAGCCCGAAAGGAGACAUCCGUGGGGAAAGGGAAGCCCAUGACACGGAGAAAGGCAGCAAGGACUCUUGGCAGCCCCAUGAGCCAGCAUCCCCAUUUGAGACCCAGCUGUGCUGCCCGUGAUGGGAAGCCCACCCUUGCACAUGGGUGCCCCCAAGCAGUGCGUAAUGCACCCCGGGGGUGCCUGUGGGGUCGUACAGCAAGGGAACAUGGGGGGGAGACACCCGGCUGCCAGAAAAUGCCUGGAGGCUGCGAAAAGGACGUGCACAUUCCUGGAGGUGUAGGGAAUGACAGCACGGUGAUGUGGGGUGCGUCAUCUGGACUGGGCCUCUGCGUGCGGGACCUGCAGCAGGGAGCACCCUGCGGGACAGGGGAUCGGGGUGAGGUGGGCGACGUGGAAAGUCUCAUAUGUAAGGAACACAAACAGCAGAGCCCUGCUUCUCCACACAGAGACACACGUGCCUGCUCGCCGCAGCCUCGCUCCACAGUGAGGCCCAUCCACCUCACCUUGGCUCACCACAAAAGGGUUUUCGCAGCCCUGUAGGGCUAGACACCCUCGUGCCGCGGGUAUGGGCUGCCCAGAAUGUGCAAUGUGGUUCCGCAGGAAAGGAAUCGCCGCAAAUCUUUGUCCCGCAGGAGGAUCUCGGCACAGUGCUUUUUGUUCAGGACGGGCUUUUGUGAUCUCUCCUCUUGUCCCAGCGCUUGGUGGUCUCCCCAGCUCUUCCAUGGAAAAAACAAAACAAGAAAAUAAAAUGCCUUCUCUUCUGACAGUUGCUGUGGCAACCUGAAAUAGCCACGUAUCUGAGGGAAGUGAAACUUUUAGGAAGAGAGCUGUAAGACUAUACCCCCCCCCCCCCUUUCUGAAAGAUGUCAGCCUUGAGUUGCUUCUAACUAUUCGCAUGCUUGACUUCUGCUCAUUCCUACUGGUAUUUUUUGCCUUUGCUAUAGAAUGAGUUUUGCUGUUGUCAGCCUGCCCACGAAGUGUGUGCAACUCCCAGACCUCCGAGGCUCUCAGCACCUCACCAAAGCUCUGGCCUCAGCUUGAUUCCUCAGUUAAGAGGUCUUGCAGACCCACUUUUGCUGGGUUAUGGGUGAUGUGCAGUGUCCUGUAGGCUUGAGUCAUUAAACGUUUGGUUCCAUUUUUCUUUCAGUCUGACUGGUGGCACCCUUCCAACUUUAUUAAAAAGUUCUGAUCGCGCUAAACCCUA
Anas platyrhynchos (mallard) is the source of this 1394-nucleotide non-coding RNA. The record is from RefSeq and is a predicted model, not a curated record. NCBI's taxonomy places the organism in Eukaryota, Metazoa, Chordata, Aves, Anseriformes, Anatidae.